Molecule: ribosomal RNA, 253 nt
Filed under: uncultured bacterium
Lineage: Bacteria
Description: partial 16S ribosomal RNA
Rfam family: Bacterial small subunit ribosomal RNA
Source: RNAcentral
UACGUAGGGUGCAAGCGUUAAUCGGAAUUACUGGGCGUAAAGGGUGCGCAGGCGGCUCUGUAAGUCAGGGGUGAAAUCCCCGGGCUUAACCUGGGAAUGGCGCUUGAAACUACGGGACUGGAGUAUGGCAGAGGGAGGUGGAAUUCCACGUGUAGCGGUGAAAUGCGUAGAGAUGUGGAGGAACACCGAUGGCGAAGGCAGCCUCCUGGGCCAAUACUGACGCUCAUGCACGAAAGCGUGGGGAGCAAACAGG